Molecule: ribosomal RNA, 739 nt
Filed under: Simulium fenestratum
Lineage: Eukaryota; Metazoa; Arthropoda; Insecta; Diptera; Simuliidae
Description: eukaryotic LSU rRNA
Rfam family: Eukaryotic large subunit ribosomal RNA
Source: RNAcentral
UAGGAUUCUCUAGUAGCGGCGAGCGAAAAGGGAAAAGUCCAGCACGUAGAAUCGCAAUUGUUAUGAUUGUUGAUUGAUGCCGUGUACAGGUGUGACCAUUAACUCAUAUUAUAAUUAGUAUGUUCAAGUCCUUCUUGAAUGAGGCAAUAUACCCAUAGAGGGUGAUAGGCCCGUAUAACUGCUAUGAUAUAUGAGUGGUUGUUACCUAGGAGUCGUGUUGCUUGAAAGUGCAGCACUAAGCGGGAGGUAAACUCCUUCUAAGACUAAAUAUUGCCAUGAGACCGAUAGCGAACAAGUACCGUGAGGGAAAGUUGAAAAGCACUCUGAAUAGAGAGUCAAAAAGUACGUGAAACUGUCUAGGGUUAAGAAAGCAUGAAGUGUCUAAAUAUCUGAAUGGAGAAAUUCAGUAUCAUAUUGUUGUAAUUAGAUUGUUAAUGAAGCAUAUGGUGUGCACUUUUCUCCUUGUAAGACACUGCGAUCCAUUAGAACCUUGUGUUAAUAAUUACCAUGUUGUGAAUUAUUAUAUCUAUCAAUGGGCCUGGCAUGGAGCUUACAUAUUUAAUGUUAGUACUAUAUAUUGUUAAGGUGAUAUACAGGAAAGCAAUGUAAACUGCUGGUGUCUCGUAUAGAUGUCUGAUGGAUUUUAAGCGAUCACAAUAUGACAUCCUUGUGGUGUAACCAGUAAUGGUUUAUUAUAUUGUGUCGGAUCAGCAGUGUAUUUGUUUAGUAAUCUUCAUGA